RNAcentral lists this ribosomal RNA (373 nucleotides) under uncultured bacterium. RNAcentral describes it as "bacterial SSU rRNA". It matches the Rfam family "Bacterial small subunit ribosomal RNA", at positions 525 to 896 of the family's 1533-position model. The record is from RNAcentral.
ACAUAGGGUGCAAGCGUUGUCCGGAAUUAUUGGGCGUAAAGAGCUCGUAGGUCGUUUGUUACGUCGGAUGUGAAAACCUGAGGCUCAACCUCAGGCCUGCAUUCGAUACGGGCAAACUAGAGUUUGGUAGGGGAGACUGGAAUUCCUGGUGUAGCGGUGGAAUGCGCAGAUAUCAGGAGGAACACCAAUGGCGAAGGCAGGUCUCUGGGCCAUAACUGACACUGAGGAGCGAAAGUGCGGGGAGCGAACAGGAUUAGAUACCCUGGUAGUCCGCACCGUAAACGGUGGGCACUAGUUGUGGGAACCUUCCACGGUUUCCGCGACGCAGCAAACGCAUUAAGUGCCCCGCCUGGGGAGUACGAUCGCAAGAUUA